UCCCUCUAUACAUUUUUAUAUCUUUUUUUUUUUUUUUGUACCAGGGAUCGAACUCGGGACCUUGUGCUUAUGAGGCAGGCAGAAGAACUCCUGAGCUAAAUCCCCAGCCCACAUUUUUAUAUCUUUAUAUUAUUUCUAUAAAUGUAUGUGCCUGCAAAAUCAUUUAUCCAACUAAAGAGCAAAAGUAACUCCCUCCAGCAGUACCAGUUCUUCAAGCAGAUAUUUGUAACUAAGAUGCACCUUCAGAUCUGGCUCAUCUUUUUCCACAUAAAGGAAAGCAAAGGACUACUGCAAUGCAGAACUGCCUGAAGAUCCCUCAUUCACUGUGGUGCUGUUGGAGAAGAGAUUCCGUUUAGUUAAUUUCUUUCAGAAUCAUGAUGUGGACUAGAAAGUGCACUACAGGAUGGGCGCCACCACUGUACCUACAACAUCCAACAAGGUAGGAUGUUGUUACACAAAUAAAUGAGUUCUGCUCAAGGUUGCUGGUCUCCAGGUUGCUUUCUCCAUAAAGAGCAGAAAGAUUAU
RNAcentral lists this long non-coding RNA (525 nucleotides) under Fukomys damarensis (Damara mole-rat). Its description in RNAcentral is "lncRNA (ENSFDAG00000029183.1)". The record is from RNAcentral. Lineage: Eukaryota; Metazoa; Chordata; Mammalia; Rodentia; Bathyergidae.